This is a small nucleolar RNA of Cynocephalus volans (Philippine flying lemur), 135 nucleotides long. RefSeq annotates it as small nucleolar RNA SNORA71. The transcript has a single exon. The record is from RefSeq and is a predicted model, not a curated record. NCBI's taxonomy places the organism in Eukaryota, Metazoa, Chordata, Mammalia, Dermoptera, Cynocephalidae.
CCCUGCAUUCGGAAGUGAUCAUGGGCUCCCCAUUUCUUGGUCAUUGGUAGUGCAGUCAGAGGAAAUAUGGAAAGAGUUGCCCUGUGUUUGGAGGAUCCACCUCCUUGCCUUCCAGUUCCAGGAGCUUUUCCCAUA